This 66-nucleotide transfer RNA is filed under the name Afrocampsis griseosetosus. RNAcentral describes it as "tRNA-Ser". The record is from RNAcentral. Lineage: Eukaryota; Metazoa; Arthropoda; Insecta; Hymenoptera; Braconidae.
GGGUAAUGAUCUUGAAUAAGUAUAUAUUUUGAAAAUAUAAGAUAGAAAUUUUAAUUCUAUUAUCUA